GACGAACGCUGGCGGCGUGCUUAACACAUGCAAGUCGAACGGAAAGGCCCUGCUUUUGUGGGGUGCUCGAGUGGCGAACGGGUGAGUAACACGUGAGUAACCUGCCCUUGACUUUGGGAUAACUUCAGGAAACUGGGGCUAAUACCGGAUAGGAGCUCCUGCUGCAUGGUGGGGGUUGGAAAGUUUCGGCGGUUGGGGAUGGACUCGCGGCUUAUCAGCUUGUUGGUGGGGUAGUGGCUUACCAAGGCUUUGACGGGUAGCCGGCCUGAGAGGGUGACCGGGCACAUUGGGACUGAGAUACGGCCCAGACUCCUACGGGAGGCAGCAGGGGGGAAUAUUGCCCAAUGGGCGGAAGCCUGAUGCAGCAACGCCGCGUGCGGGAUGACGGCCUUCGGGUUGUAAACCGCUGUCGCCUGAGACGAAGCGUGAGUGACGGUAAUGGGUAAAGAAGCACCGGCUAACUACGUG
RNAcentral lists this ribosomal RNA (468 nucleotides) under uncultured bacterium. Its description in RNAcentral is "partial 16S ribosomal RNA". It matches the Rfam family "Bacterial small subunit ribosomal RNA", at positions 28 to 507 of the family's 1533-position model. The record is from RNAcentral.